GCGAAAGUGGUGGAAUUGGUAGACACGCUAGAUUUAGGAUCUAGUGCCUCCGGGCGUGAGAGUUCAAGUCUCUCCUUUCGUA
RNAcentral lists this transfer RNA (82 nucleotides) under Candidatus Cloacimonadota bacterium. Its description in RNAcentral is "tRNA-Leu". It matches the Rfam family "tRNA". Rfam says of the family: Transfer RNA (tRNA) molecules are approximately 80 nucleotides in length. Their secondary structure includes four short double-helical elements and three loops (D, anti-codon, and T loops). Further hydrogen bonds mediate the characteristic L-shaped molecular structure. tRNAs have two regions of fundamental functional importance: the anti-codon, which is responsible for specific mRNA codon recognition, and the 3' end, to which the tRNAs corresponding amino acid is attached (by aminoacyl-tRNA synthetases). tRNAs cope with the degeneracy of the genetic code in two manners: having more than one tRNA (with a specific anti-codon) for a particular amino acid; and 'wobble' base-pairing, i.e. permitting non-standard base-pairing at the 3rd anti-codon position. Lineage: Bacteria; Pseudomonadati; Candidatus Cloacimonadota. The record is from RNAcentral.